UACAGAGGUCCCGAGCGUUGUUCGGAUUCAUUGGGCGUAAAGGGUGCGUAGGCGGCGGGGCAAGUCUGAUGUGAAAUCCCACGGCUCAACCGUGGAAGUGCACCCGAAACUGCGUAGCUAGAGUCCUGGAGAGGAAGGUGGAAUGCUUGGUGUAGAGGUGAAAUUCGUAGAUAUCAAGCGGAACACCGGUGGCGAAGGCGGCCUUCUGGACAGUGAC
Molecule: ribosomal RNA, 217 nt
Filed under: uncultured bacterium
Lineage: Bacteria
Description: partial 16S ribosomal RNA
Rfam family: Bacterial small subunit ribosomal RNA
Source: RNAcentral